RNAcentral lists this ribosomal RNA (253 nucleotides) under uncultured bacterium. RNAcentral's name for it is "partial 16S ribosomal RNA". It matches the Rfam family "Bacterial small subunit ribosomal RNA", at positions 524 to 776 of the family's 1533-position model. The record is from RNAcentral.
UACGGGGGGAGCAAGCGUUGCUCGGAAUCACUGGGCGUAAAGCGCACGUAGGCGGAUCUUUAAGUCAGAGGUGAAAUCCCAAGGCUCAACCUUGGAACUGCCUUUGAUACUGGGGAUCUCGAGUCCGGAAGAGGUGAGUGGAACUGCGAGUGUAGAGGUGAAAUUCGUAGAUAUUCGCAAGAACACCAGUGGCGAAGGCGGCUCACUGGUCCGGUACUGACGCUGAGGUGCGAAAGCGUGGGGAGCAAACAGG